CCUACGGGAUGCACCAGUGGGGAAUCUUAGACAAUGGGCGCAAGCCUGAUCUAGCGAUGCCGCGUGAGUGACGAAGGUCUUAGGAUCGUAAAGCUCUUUCGCCUGUGAUGAUAAUGACAGUAGCAGGUAAAGAAACCCCGGCUAACUCCGUGCCAGCAGCCGCGGUAAUACGGGGGGGGUUAGCGUUGUUCGGAAUUACUGGGCGUAAAGCGCACGUAGGCGGAUUAGUCAGUCAGAGGUGAAAUCCCAGGGCUCAACCCUGGAACUGCCUUUGAUACUGCUAGUCUUGAGUUCGAGAGAGGUAAGUGGAAUUCCGAGUGUAGAGGUGAAAUUCGUAGAUAUUCGGAGGAACACCAGUGGCGAAGGCGACUUACUGGCUCGAUACUGACGCUGAGGUGCGAAAGCGUGGGGAGCAAACAGGAUUAGAUACCCCGGUAGUC
This 440-nucleotide ribosomal RNA is filed under the name uncultured bacterium. RNAcentral's name for it is "bacterial SSU rRNA". It matches the Rfam family "Bacterial small subunit ribosomal RNA", at positions 338 to 795 of the family's 1533-position model. The record is from RNAcentral.